AUUGAACGCUGGCGGCAGGCCUAACACAUGCAAGUCGAGCGGAUGAAGGGAGCUUGCUCCUGGAUUCAGCGGCGGACGGGUGAGUAAUGCCUAGGAAUCUGCCUGGUAGUGGGGGAUAACGUCCGGAAACGGGCGCUAAUACCGCAUACGUCCUGAGGGAGAAAGUGGGGGAUCUUCGGACCUCACGCUAUCAGAUGAGCCUAGGUCGGAUUAGCUAGUUGGUGGGGUAAAGGCCUACCAAGGCGACGAUCCGUAACUGGUCUGAGAGGAUGAUCAGUCACACUGGAACUGAGACACGGUCCAGACUCCUAAGGGAGGCAGCAGUGGGGAAUAUUGGACAAAGGGCGAAAGCCUGAUCCAGCAAUGCCGCGUGUGUGAAGAAGAUCUUCGGAUUGUAAAGCACUUUAAGUUGGGAGGAAGGGCAGUAAGUUAAUACCUUGCUGUUUUGACGUUACCAACAGAAUAAGCACCGGCUAACUACGUG
RNAcentral lists this ribosomal RNA (484 nucleotides) under uncultured bacterium. RNAcentral's name for it is "partial 16S ribosomal RNA". It matches the Rfam family "Bacterial small subunit ribosomal RNA", at positions 30 to 507 of the family's 1533-position model. The record is from RNAcentral.